Molecule: RNA transcript, 901 nt
Organism: Carassius carassius (crucian carp)
Lineage: Eukaryota; Metazoa; Chordata; Actinopteri; Cypriniformes; Cyprinidae
Gene name: 4F2 cell-surface antigen heavy chain-like
Exons: 6
Source: RefSeq, a predicted model, not a curated record
UGGCUCUGAUGGACUGGCGUGUUAGCAGGAGCAAUAGUCUUCAUAGUACAGGCCCCGCGCUGUAAACAGUUUCCUGAGAUGGACUGGUGGAAUGAAGGUCCUCUGUACCAAAUAUCUGACAUUAACGCCUUCUCUGAAAAUGGACUGAAAGGAGUGGAGGAAAAGCUGAACUAUAUGACCCAGAUGAAGGUGAAGGGCCUUGUUCUGGGUCCAGUACACACUGUGCAAGAAUACCAGCUGGAUAAAUUAAAUCUGGUUUCAUUUAAACCUGAAGUAGGCACUGAGAAUGGAAUCUUUGCUGAGCCAAGCAAAAAAAAAAGAAGAAGAGUGACCUUUGACCCUGAUAUCUCAAUAGUGCUGAUUUUAACACCCAACUAUGAAAAUGCUUCAUUCUGGUUCAACAACGUUAAAGCUGUUGCUGAGAAAAUCAGACUAAGUGCCUAUAAGAAAGUGGAAAUCGUAAAGGCAGGCCUAUUUUUGUGGACAGUGAAUAUGGGUAGAUGAAAAGAUAGUUGAGAAAGGAAGCAUUAAAGAGCCAAACAAGAAGCAUGUACAUACUGGUUGAAAAAAGGGUUUGGUGACCUGGGAGACAACAUGAAAACAUUCCUGGUCAUCUAUACAAGCUAUAUUCUACCAAGAGCUCUAAUAGGAUCUGUCACUGGUUUCUUUCAUGAUGAACCUGCAGACGAGUUUGGGCUGGAGUCUGAGUGGACAGACUCUGGGUUCUCAUGCCUCCAGAACUCCAGCAGUGCCUGUAAGGCUCUAUCAAAUGCUGCUGGUCACCCCCCCGGGUACACCUGUGUUCAGCGCUGGAGAUGAGGUCGGACUGAAGGCUGGGGAAAAACCUCAAAUAAUGUGGGACAUGGAAUACCCAGCAGCAGAGACGAAUGCAACAGCAAAA